GAAAUGCGAUAAUUAAUGUGAAUUGCAGAAUUCCGUGCCUCAUCUCAUCUUUGAACGCACAUUGCGCCCGCCAGCACUCUGGCGGGCAUGCCUGUUCGAGCGUCAUUUCAACCCUCAGAACCCCUUGCGGGAUCUGGCGUUGGGGAUUGGCAUCCAGCCAGCCCCGAAAUCUAGUGGCGGUCCCUCCGCGACCUCCCCUGUGCAGUAGCGAUACCUCGCAGCGGGACAGCGGUCUGACCACGCCGUAAAACCCCCAACUUCUCAAGGUUGACCUCGAAUCAGGUAGGAAUACCCGCUGAACUUAAGC
This 307-nucleotide unclassified non-coding RNA is filed under the name plant metagenome. Its description in RNAcentral is "partial contains 5.8S ribosomal RNA, internal transcribed spacer 2, and large subunit ribosomal RNA". The stretch from base 1 to 105 matches the Rfam family "5.8S ribosomal RNA", at positions 50 to 154 of the family's 154-position model. The record is from RNAcentral.